GAUUAAGUUAUUAAGGGCGCACGGUGGAUGCCUUGGCACUAGAAGCCGAUGAAGGACGUUACUAACGACGAUAUGCUUUGGGGAGCUGUAAGUAAGCUUUGAUCCAGAGAUUUCCGAAUGGGGAAACCCAGCAUGAGUUAUGUCAUGUUAUCGAUAUGUGAAUACAUAGCAUUUCAGAAGGCACACCCGGAGAACUGAAACAUCUUAGUACCCGGAGGAAGAGAAAGAAAAUUCGAUUCCCUUAGUAGCGGCGAGCGAAACGGGAAGAGCCCAAACCAACAAGCUUGCUUGUUGGGGUUGUAGGACACUCUAUACGGAGUUACAAAGGACGACAUUAGACGAAUCAUCUGGAAAGAUGAAUCAAAGAAGGUAAUAAUCCUGUAGUCGAAAAUGUUGUCUCUCUUGAGUGGAUCCUGAGUACGACGGAGCACGUGAAAUUCCGUCGGAAUCUGGGAGGACCAUCUCCUAAGGCUAAAUACUCUCUAGUGACCGAUAGUGAACCAGUACCGUGAGGGAAAGGUGAAAAGCACCCCGGAAGGGGAGUGAAAUAGAACCUGAAACCGUGUGCUUACAAGUAGUCAGAGCCCGUUAAUGGGUGAUGGCGUGCCUUUUGUAGAAUGAACCGGCGAGUUACGAUUUGAUGCAAGGUUAAGCAGUAAAUGUGGAGCCGUAGCGAAAGCGAGUCUGAAUAGGGCGUUUAGUAUUUGGUCGUAGACCCGAAACCAGGUGAUCUACCCUUGGUCAGGUUGAAGUUCAGGUAACACUGAAUGGAGGACCGAACCGACUUACGUUGAAAAGUGAGCGGAUGAACUGAGGGUAGCGGAGAAAUUCCAAUCGAACCUGGAGAUAGCUGGUUCUCUCCGAAAUAGCUUUAGGGCUAGCCUCAAGUGAUGAUUAUUGGAGGUAGAGCACUGUUUGGACGAGGGGCCCCUCUCGGGUUACCGAAUUCAGACAAACUCCGAAUGCCAAUUAAUUUAACUUGGGAGUCAGAACAUGGGUGAUAAGGUCCGUGUUCGAAAGGGAAACAGCCCAGACCACCAGCUAAGGUCCCAAAAUAUAUGUUAAGUGGAAAAGGAUGUGGCGUUGCCCAGACAACUAGGAUGUUGGCUUAGAAGCAGCCAUCAUUUAAAGAGUGCGUAAUAGCUCACUAGUCGAGUGACACUGCGCCGAAAAUGUACCGGGGCUAAACAUAUUACCGAAGCUGUGGAUUGUCCUUUGGACAAUGGUAGGAGAGCGUUCUAAGGGCGUUGAAGCAUGAUCGUAAGGACAUGUGGAGCGCUUAUAAGUGAGAAUGCCGGUGUGAGUAGCGAAAGACGGGUGAGAAUCCCGUCCACCGAUUGACUAAGGUUUCCAGAGGAAGGCUCGUCCGCUCUGGGUUAGUCGGGUCCUAAGCUGAGGCCGACAGGCGUAGGCGAUGGAUAACAGGUUGAUAUUCCUGUACCACCUAUAAUCGUUUUAAUCGAUGGGGGGACGCAGUAGGAUAGGCGAAGCGUGCGAUUGGAUUGCACGUCUAAGCAGUAAGGCUGAGUAUUAGGCAAAUCCGGUACUCGUUAAGGCUGAGCUGUGAUGGGGAGAAGACAUUGUGUCUUCGAGUCGUUGAUUUCACACUGCCGAGAAAAGCCUCUAGAUAGAAAAUAGGUGCCCGUACCGCAAACCGACACAGGUAGUCAAGAUGAGAAUUCUAAGGUGAGCGAGCGAACUCUCGUUAAGGAACUCGGCAAAAUGACCCCGUAACUUCGGGAGAAGGGGUGCUCUUUAGGGUUAACGCCCAGAAGAGCCGCAGUGAAUAGGCCCAAGCGACUGUUUAUCAAAAACACAGGUCUCUGCUAAACCGUAAGGUGAUGUAUAGGGGCUGACGCCUGCCCGGUGCUGGAAGGUUAAGAGGAGUGGUUAGCUUCUGCGAAGCUACGAAUCGAAGCCCCAGUAAACGGCGGCCGUAACUAUAACGGUCCUAAGGUAGCGAAAUUCCUUGUCGGGUAAGUUCCGACCCGCACGAAAGGCGUAACGAUUUGGGCACUGUCUCAACGAGAGACUCGGUGAAAUCAUAGUACCUGUGAAGAUGCAGGUUACCCGCGACAGGACGGAAAGACCCCGUGGAGCUUUACUGUAGCCUGAUAUUGAAAUUCGGCACAGCUUGUACAGGAUAGGUAGGAGCCUUUGAAACGUGAGCGCUAGCUUACGUGGAGGCGCUGGUGGGAUACUACCCUAGCUGUGUUGGCUUUCUAACCCGCACCACUUAUCGUGGUGGGAGACAGUGUCAGGCGGGCAGUUUGACUGGGGCGGUCGCCUCCUAAAAGGUAACGGAGGCGCUCAAAGGUUCCCUCAGAAUGGUUGGAAAUCAUUCAUAGAGUGUAAAGGCAUAAGGGAGCUUGACUGCGAGACCUACAAGUCGAGCAGGGUCGAAAGACGGACUUAGUGAUCCGGUGGUUCCGCAUGGAAGGGCCAUCGCUCAACGGAUAAAAGCUACCCCGGGGAUAACAGGCUUAUCUCCCCAAGAGUUCACAUCGACGGGGAGGUUUGGCACCUCGAUGUCGGCUCAUCGCAUCCUGGGGCUGUAGUCGGUCCCAAGGGUUGGGCUGUUCGCCCAUUAAAGCGGUACGCGAGCUGGGUUCAGAACGUCGUGAGACAGUUCGGUCCCUAUCCGUCGUGGGCGUAGGAAAUUUGAGAGGAGCUGUCCUUAGUACGAGAGGACCGGGAUGGACAUACCUCUGGUGUACCAGUUGUCGUGCCAACGGCAUAGCUGGGUAGCUAUGUGUGGACGGGAUAAGUGCUGAAAGCAUCUAAGCAUGAAGCCCCCCUCAAGAUGAGAUUUCCCAACUUCGGUUAUAAGAUCCCUCAAAGAUGAUGAGGUUAAUAGGUUCGAGGUGGAAGCAUGGUGACAUGUGGAGCUGACGAAUACUAAUCGAUCGAAGACUUAAUCAA
RNAcentral lists this ribosomal RNA (2922 nucleotides) under Staphylococcus aureus. RNAcentral describes it as "23S ribosomal RNA". It matches the Rfam family "Bacterial large subunit ribosomal RNA". The record is from RNAcentral. Lineage: Bacteria; Bacillati; Bacillota; Bacilli; Caryophanales; Staphylococcaceae.